RNAcentral lists this ribosomal RNA (139 nucleotides) under uncultured eukaryote. RNAcentral's name for it is "partial 18S ribosomal RNA". It matches the Rfam family "Eukaryotic small subunit ribosomal RNA", at positions 1299 to 1458 of the family's 1831-position model. The record is from RNAcentral.
UGGUGGAGCGAUUUGUCUGGUUAAUACCGUUAACGAACGAGACCUUAACCUACUAAAUAGUUACGCGAACAUUUUGUUCGUGGACAACUUCUUAGAGGGACUAAUCGUGUCUAGCGAUUGGAAGUUUGAGGCAAUAACA